GUGUCAGCAGCCGCGGUAAUACAGAGGGUGCAAGCGUUAAUCGGAAUUACUGGGCGUAAAGCGUGCGCAGUCGGUUAUUUAAGUCGGAUGUGAAAUCCCCGGGCUCAACCUGGGAAUUGCAUUCGAUACUGGAUGGCUAGAGUUCGGCAGAGGGAAGUGGAAUUUCAGGUGUAGCGGUGAAAUGCGUAGAUAUCUGAAGGAACAUCAGUGGCGAAAGCGACUUCCUGGACCAGAACUGACGAUCAGGCACGAAAGCGUGGGGAGCAAACAGGAUUAGAAACCCCCGUAGUCC
This 292-nucleotide ribosomal RNA is filed under the name uncultured bacterium. RNAcentral's name for it is "partial 16S ribosomal RNA". It matches the Rfam family "Bacterial small subunit ribosomal RNA", at positions 505 to 796 of the family's 1533-position model. The record is from RNAcentral.